This 525-nucleotide ribosomal RNA is filed under the name uncultured bacterium. Its description in RNAcentral is "bacterial SSU rRNA". It matches the Rfam family "Bacterial small subunit ribosomal RNA", at positions 162 to 697 of the family's 1533-position model. The record is from RNAcentral.
UCUAAUACUGGAUAUUCAGUCCUCGGCGCAUGGUGGGGGUUGGAAAGGUUUUCUGGUGGGGGAUGGGCUCGCGGCCUAUCAGCUUGUUGGUGGGGUGAUGGCCUACCAAGGCUUUGACGGGUAGCCGGCCUGAGAGGGCGACCGGCCACACUGGGACUGAGACACGGCCCAGACUCCUACGGGAGGCAGCAGUGGGGAAUAUUGCACAAUGGGCGAAAGCCUGAUGCAGCGACGCCGCGUGGAGGAUGACGGCCUUCGGGUUGUAAACUCCUUUAGACAAGGAAGAAGCCGCAAGGUGACGGUACUUGUAGAAUAAGCACCGGCUAACUACGUGCCAGCAGCCGCGGUAAUACGUAGGGUGCAAGCGUUGUCCGGAAUUAUUGGGCGCAAAGAGCUCGUAGGCGGUUUGUCGCGUCUGGUGUGAAAUUCCCUGGCUCAACUGGGGGCGUGCAUCGGGUACGGGCAAACUUGGAGUGCUGUAGGGGAGACUGAAAUUCCUGGUGUAGCGGUGGAAUGCGCAGAUAU